Molecule: long non-coding RNA, 617 nt
Filed under: Pogona vitticeps (central bearded dragon)
Lineage: Eukaryota; Metazoa; Chordata; Lepidosauria; Squamata; Agamidae
Description: lncRNA (ENSPVIG00000007518.1)
Source: RNAcentral
AUAGAAGGGUACAGACUGUAUCAAUCUCUUUUUCUUUUCACUACCACAGGACACGGAGAGAGGAAGACUAUUGAACAGUGACACAGCUUGAAAACACAGUGGUUUGGCUAAAGCUACCAUGAGCCAUAUUGCUUGAACAAAGAUUCAGACAAACCUGUGGGACUGCUCAAUAUAAGAAAGACAGUCUGGGAGGGAAAAAGCUGGUGUACUCACAUAAAAGGGAAAUACCAAAAUACAUUGGUAGGGAAGCUGCUAAAUUAAAAUAUGAAAUGCAACAACAACAACAACAACAACAAAGGUCAACCAAACAAAAAAGCAUCCAGACCCUCAUCAACCUAAUUCUAAUUAGAAGCAAAUGAAGAAUUAACUUCCAAUUGAAACAAAAGUUGGCUACAGUAUCACCAUCUUACCGUAACAGGAGCUCAAAAGGAUGUGAGAUAGCCAGGGUAAACAAACAAGGACACAAAAAUACAGUUCCUAAGAACUCAGUCUGUUCUUUCUCCUAUGGUUGAACAGCUGCACUCUGAAACUCCCCGAGUUAAGACCGGUAAGGCUUUCUUUUUUAUCUGUCAUCUUCCUGUAAUGCUAUCAGCUGUGGGUAAACUAGCAGAUUUGAA